UGCCAGACUCCUACGGGAGGCAGCAGUGAGGAAUAUUGGUCAAUGGGCGGAAGCCUGAACCAGCCAAGUCGCGUGAGGGAAUAAGGCCCUACGGGUCGUAAACCUCUUUUGCCGGGGAGCAAGGGCGGGGACGUGUCCCGGCCCGGAGAGUACCCGGAGAAAAAGCAUCGGCUAACUCCGUGCCAGCAGCCGCGGUAAUACGGAGGAUGCGAGCGUUAUCCGGAUUUAUUGGGUUUAAAGGGAGCGUAGGCCGGUCUUUAAGCGUGCCGUGAAAUUUUGUGGCUCAACCAUGAGAGUGCGGCGCGAACUGGAGACCUUGAGUGCGCGGAAGGCAGGCGGAAUUCGUGGUGUAGCGGUGAAAUGCUUAGAUAUCACGAAGAACCCCGAUUGCGAAGGCAGCCUGCCGCAGCGUUACUGACGCUGAAGCUCGAAAGCGCGGGUAUCGAACAGGAUUAGAUACCCCCGUAG
This 468-nucleotide ribosomal RNA is filed under the name uncultured bacterium. RNAcentral's name for it is "bacterial SSU rRNA". It matches the Rfam family "Bacterial small subunit ribosomal RNA", at positions 329 to 793 of the family's 1533-position model. The record is from RNAcentral.